CGGAAAUUUCCGACGAAACCUUCGGAAAUUUUCGGAGGUCCGCAGAUGUCCGGAAUUAUGUUUGGAGAUUUCCGGAAUUCCAAAACAACCUGCGUGAAGGUGGAAGAAAAACUCAAAACUCAAUCAAACGACCUCCAAAAAUCACAAAAUUUUAACCAUAGCUUCUCAACAACAUAAAAAAUAUAUUCCCAAAAGAUCUACUCAAAAAAUUUAGCCAAACAAAGGGAAUUAAAAAUCUUCUGAAGAAUACCGCUUUUCCAACCCUAGAACUUGAAUCGCCCCG
Molecule: long non-coding RNA, 283 nt
Filed under: Setaria viridis
Lineage: Eukaryota; Viridiplantae; Streptophyta; Magnoliopsida; Poales; Poaceae
Description: long non-coding RNA (SVIR_LNC003449)
Source: RNAcentral